Vicia faba (fava bean) is the source of this 226-nucleotide non-coding RNA. The record is from the annotation of a GenBank genome assembly. NCBI's taxonomy places the organism in Eukaryota, Viridiplantae, Streptophyta, Magnoliopsida, Fabales, Fabaceae.
ACACACAAAAACAACACCACAAACAGUAACCAUCCCUCUCUCUCCACGGCUACCCCUUCUUCCCUCUCUCCACUACCAUUCACAAAAACAACAAGAUAAACCAACUCUCCAAUCCAUCUCUCUCCCUCGCUACUGUUACAACAAAACUCCAAACAACUUUCAUAACAACACAAACUCCCUCCUCUCUUCAAACAACAACUAUCCCUUUCCCUCUCGUCUCUGCUAG